Molecule: ribosomal RNA, 482 nt
Filed under: uncultured bacterium
Lineage: Bacteria
Description: bacterial SSU rRNA
Rfam family: Bacterial small subunit ribosomal RNA
Source: RNAcentral
GAACGCUGGCGGCAUGCCUUACACAUGCAAGUCGAACGGCAGCACGGGAGCAAUCCUGGUGGCGAGUGGCGAACGGGUGAGUAAUAUAUCGGAACGUGCCCAGUCGGUGGGGGAUAACGUAGCGAAAGCUACGCUAAUACCGCAUACGAUCUAUGGAUGAAAGCGGGGGAUCGCAAGACCUCGCGCGAUUGGAGCGGCCGAUAUCAGAUUAGGUAGUUGGUGAGGUAAAGGCUCACCAAGCCGACGAUCUGUAGCUGGUCUGAGAGGACGACCAGCCACACUGGGACUGAGACACGGCCCAGACUCCUACGGGAGGCAGCAGUGGGGAAUUUUGGACAAUGGGCGCAAGCCUGAUCCAGCAAUGCCGCGUGCAGGAUGAAGGCCUUCGGGUUGUAAACUGCUUUUGUACGGAACGAAACGGUGAGCUCUAAUACAGUUUGCUAAUGACGGUACCGUAAGAAUAAGCACCGGCUAACUACGUG